UACGUAGGGUCCGAGCGUUGUCCGGAAUUAUUGGGCGUAAAGGGCUCGUAGGCGGUCUGUCGCGUCGGGAGUGAAAACUUACAGCUUAACUGUGAGCGUGCUUCCGAUACGGGCAGACUUGAGGUAUUCAGGGGAGAGCGGAAUUCCUGGUGUAGCGGUGAAAUGCGCAGAUAUCAGGAGGAACACCGGUGGCGAAGGCGGUUCUCUGGGAAUAUCCUGACGCUGAGGAGCGAAAGUGUGGGGAGCGAACAGG
Molecule: ribosomal RNA, 253 nt
Filed under: uncultured bacterium
Lineage: Bacteria
Description: partial 16S ribosomal RNA
Rfam family: Bacterial small subunit ribosomal RNA
Source: RNAcentral